Molecule: long non-coding RNA, 2357 nt
Organism: Gadus macrocephalus (Pacific cod)
Lineage: Eukaryota; Metazoa; Chordata; Actinopteri; Gadiformes; Gadidae
Exons: 8
Source: RefSeq, a predicted model, not a curated record
AUCGCCUUGAAACGUGUAUGCGUCAGCAAAGUAUGAUCAGUCACACUAGUCAAUAGCACUACAGGACUAUUGUCCGUGAGUCAAUUAUCCUUCUUAAGCCUAUAUCCUUCAAGUUCAUUCUUCGACAGAGUGAAUUCAAUUCUCUAGCACCACACAAGUGGCUGCUGGCCGAGACAAUUGAGUGCUACCUCAGAGCCAUACUGAAUGUGAAAGAAAAGGAAAAUAAUAUAUAUCCUCAACCAUUAUCCUGCCGGAGUCAUAGUUUUUGGAGCACGGUCUGCCAUGGCCAAUCACUCAUUACGCAAGCUUAACUUUGACAACUACGAUGGAGUCAUAGGAUUCAUGAAUGUUGCAAACAACCACUGGAAAUUCCUGUAUCCCUACAAGUUGAACCAAAACGUGUUUGUCAUGGAUCCCUUGGGUCAUGAGGACAAAGAGUCAGGCGUUGCUGCGGAACGGUUUCGCCAGUUCUUCAGGAGGCGGCAGAACCGCUAACAGAAGACUGAUUGGGUGGAUGUAAAGUGGCAGCAAGCCACAAUCAAGCACAGCAUUCAAAAGGAUGGUUGUAGCUGUGGUGUUUUCGUCAUGAAGAUGGCUACAGACAUGGUGGAGGCUUUUCCCGUUGUCCCCCAGGGAAUAGAAAUACCCACAUCACUAAAAGACUUAAAAGACCGGAGGAUCACCAUGGCAAAAACCAUACUGCAGUGCUCUGUCUUCAGUGAAACAGACCAUUGUUCCAGUUGCGGCCAGGAGAAUCCCACUGGACAGAAGGGUAACACAAAAUGGGUUGAAUGCACUAAAUGCAAGAGGUGGUACCAUCCGACCUGCAUGGCCAUGUCGGAUGAAGAAUGGGAAAAAGAGGAAGUAGCAUUGAAAUCGAACUGUGGCCUUAACUGAUUUACCGUACAAGGUGUCUACGUUACAUAUCUAACUUUGAAUGUGCCUGGUAUGUGUGUAAUGUAUAAAGUGAACAUAGAAUAGAUGGAAUUCCUUCCAAUUCCUGGUUGUAAAAUUAAUUUUAGUUUAAUCACUUUGCUUUAGCAACUCGCAAUUAAUGCUAAACUACCUGAAAGGUUGUAUGUUUCAUGCCAAAAUAAAUAUUUGCAUGCUUGAUCUAAAUUAAGAGCAGCAAAUUUGGAAGAAAAAUAAGGCAAAAUAAAAAAUGAGAAAUGCAUGUAAAUGAUGCUCACUGUUAUUAUUCUGUCUAAGAAUCUUGAAAAAGUGUUUUAAAGGGAAGCAAGAAGCUGUGAAAUCUUCAAUGUGAGUUUAUGAACACAUCGGUUUGGUGUUUAUCUUUAAAAACAAGGGAGGUAUUACAAAAUAUUAUUUUUUUGUGCUAAUCCACAAUGUUUUUAAAUUUUGAAAGCAUGUCUCGUGUUCAAGGUUCAUGGUUUUUUUAUUAAAUUUCCCAAGAGGGCAAAUUAGUUCACAGCGAAGGAGGUAGUGGCUAAAAACACACGACAGAACAAGUCAUCAAUGUGUUGUCUUUUUAGUGGACUCUGCAUUAAUAUGUGGUUCAUCCGAGUCCCUUGAUAUUGCUCGAUUAACAAAUACAUUUCUUUUUAACAGGGAACUAUGUAGCCAAUCAAAUGUCUUCCUCGUUUUCAGCAAAUCACAUGAGCGCUGUACUUGUCUCUGUAUUUUAUAUUUUCUAAAGUUCAGAGAUUUUUCCCUGUAAUUAUACCAAAAGUUUUGAUUCCUACAAAAACUGAUUAUAAGUGUUAUGAAAUAAAAAGCUGUAUAUAUUAUACCAUUUUAACUACAAGAUUCGGCUUGAGAUUAUUUUCUGGCAGGUGAUACUCAUGAUUAUUAUCAACACAUUUUAAAGCAUAUAAAAAAUGUCAGUAUCAUUUUCUGCCAGGAAAACUCCAAUGCGUCAUAUUUUUGCUUUAAAACGUAUGACGGCUGAUAAAAUAGACAGGAUUUGUUCUUAUCUACCCCAUAUAGCCGACAUGAAUGUUAUAGUGUCAGUUUGGAGCAGAAAUAUCAUUGUAACUACAAGAUUCGGCUUCAGAUCAUUUUCUGGCAGGAGGGAAACGACUGAAAUGUCUUAUAUUUGCCCAUGUAAAGGUGUUUCAGCUGGUAAUGGACACUGGAUGGAAUAUAAUCUAUUUUAUGUGAUACUCAUGAAUGUUAUCAACUCAUUUUAAGGCAAAUAAAACAUUUCAUGUCAUAUUUUCGCUUUAAAACGUAUUACAGCUGAUAAAAGAAACUGGAUUUGUUCUUAUCUACCCCACAUAGCCCACAUGAAUGUUAGUGUCAGUUUGAACCCUAAUCUAUUUAAUGUGAUAGGACUUACUCAUGAAUGUUAUCAAUUCAUUUUGAGAAGAAAAAAACUUCUUCUUGAAAAAUCUAUA